GCUUGCUCUGUGGGAUCAGUGGCGAACGGGUGAGUAACACGUGAGCGACCUGCCCCUGACUCUGGGAUAAGCGCUGGAAACGGCGUCUAAUACUGGAUAUGUUACGUGACCGCAUGGUCUGCGUCUGGAAAGAAUUUCGGUUGGGGAUGGGCUCGCGGCCUAUCAGCUUGUUGGUGAGGUAAUGGCUCACCAAGGCGUCUACCGGUAGCCAGCCUGAGAGGGUGACCGCCCACACUGAGACUGAGACACGGCCCAGACUCCUACGGGAGGCAGCAGUGGGGAAUAUUGCACAAUGGGCGCAAGCCUGAUGCAGCAACGCCGCGUGAGGGACGACGGCCUUCGGGUUGUUAACCUCUUUUAGCAGGGAAGAAGCGAAAGUGAUGGUACCUGCUGAAAAAGCGCCGGCUAACUACCUGCCAGCAGCCGCGGUAAUACGUACGGCGCAAGCGUUAUCCGGAAUUAUUGGGCGUAAAGAGCUCGUAGGCGGUUUGUCGCGUCUGCUGUGAAAUCCGGAGGCUCAACCUCCGGCCUGCAGUGGGUACGGGCAGACUAGAGUGCGGUACGGGAGAUUGGAAUUCCUGGUGUAACGGUGGAAUGCGCAGAUAUCAUGAGGAACACCGAUGGCGAAAGCAGAUCUCUGGGCCGUAACUGACGCUGAUGAGCGACAGGUGGGGAGCACACAGGCUUAGAUACCCUGGUAGUCCACCCCGUAAACGUUGGGAACUAAUUGUGGGGUCCUUUCACGGAUUCCGUGACGCAACUCACGCAUUAAGUUCACCGCCUGGGGAGUACGGCCGCAAGGCUAAAACUCAAAGGAAUUGACG
Molecule: ribosomal RNA, 824 nt
Filed under: Microbacterium sp.
Lineage: Bacteria; Bacillati; Actinomycetota; Actinomycetes; Micrococcales; Microbacteriaceae
Description: bacterial SSU rRNA
Rfam family: Bacterial small subunit ribosomal RNA
Source: RNAcentral